Long non-coding RNA from Dendronephthya gigantea, 491 nucleotides. RefSeq lists it as uncharacterized. NCBI's taxonomy places the organism in Eukaryota, Metazoa, Cnidaria, Anthozoa, Malacalcyonacea, Nephtheidae. The transcript has 4 exons. The record is from RefSeq and is a predicted model, not a curated record.
UGUUGGAACAAAACGACGGGGAAACGCCGAUAACAAAUGUGCUCGAGUUGUUUAACGAUCUGUACCACAGAUUCCGAUUGACAACUAAACCAACUAUGAAAGCAAUGUGCCUUCAGGCGAUGACUAAAGUUUAUGGAAAAUGUUAGGAAGAGAUUGGCGCUUUUAAUGACACCAAGCUAAGGAUCAUCUGUUAUUGAUCCAGUGUUACUACAGGAGCCUGAACUAAACUAACUUUAUUCAUACUGUUUCGUAUUUUUGCACUUACAUGAAAAUGGCAUCACCCACAGGGAUUGGAAGCCAGAAAAUGUUUUAUUGUGUGCCUCGGAUGACGAAACUCUUAUAAAGGUUUGUGUCGCUUGUGUAUUGAACUUAAUCUCAAUUCCGAGUUUUGUCCGUGAUUUCGUUUCACGAAAGCAGAGCGCAUUUUGCGAACGUUUUUUGCGUUCAUGAUGAAGACUAGCCGACGGUCACGUUCGACAGACGAGUCUCUG